Molecule: long non-coding RNA, 938 nt
Organism: Acyrthosiphon pisum (pea aphid)
Lineage: Eukaryota; Metazoa; Arthropoda; Insecta; Hemiptera; Aphididae
Exons: 4
Source: RefSeq, a predicted model, not a curated record
GACAAUAUUAAGUGUCUACUUAAAAUAAUAAUUAUACUUAAGUUAGUUAUGGACAAUCAACGAUAUGUUGCAUACUAUGACAUGAUCUGGAUCAUCAACUGAAAUAGCAUGCAUGGAACAACAUGUAACCAUCAAAUGCUGGCAAGGAAAACUUAUUGCAUGUUGGCAGGACACCUGAGGACAUGCUGAUGGACGGAGAAACUUCAAAAACUGAACAUACGUUUUACGAUACAGUUGAAAAAGAAAGAAAUACAUCUUCUGGCACUAAAAUGGAUUCAUUGUUGGUUUUGAAACUCUUUUCUAAGUAACAUACUUCUGAAGGUAGGUUUCAUAGCUGAAAAAAUUUUGGAAGCGAUGCAUGAAUGAAAAGUUUUAUUUGAACUAUUGAAAGAUUGUCGACAAAUAAAAACAAAAGUUAGGUACUUCUUUAAGAAAUCUGUACUUUGUUUUUAAAGUUAUUGCUUAAAGAAACUACUCAUCAAUUAACCUAAUAUAAGAUCUUUCACGACCUUCACAGGAGAGAAUUUUUGGAAUCCGUAUAUAAAAUUGUCUAUACUGGCUCCUUUUCUGCAAUUAACAAAAUAAGAUAAGUAAUAUCAUUUUUUAUAUAAAACCAUAAUUUCAGUUAUAAUGUAUUAUAAUAUUAUAUUUUGUUAUACAUAGGAGUAGUAUCGGCCUUGGAGUCCAUUUUGUCAAAGUGCCUCUCAAAAAUACUAGUUAAGCAUUUUUUUUCAGCUUUAGUUUUGUAACAAAAGCUAAUUAAUUAAAACAAUAAUUACGAACAUUGAAUCCCAAUGGUUUAUGCUGCCAUUUAAGUAUAAUAAAUAAUAGUACAUACAUAAAAUUAUAUUAAUGGUUAUAAUUAUAAUUAUUUCUAUUGUGAAAAUACCAAAAAUAAAAUAAAAAUACAGCACCUAUUACAAAGCUUAGAUAAUCAU